Molecule: long non-coding RNA, 2471 nt
Organism: Equus asinus (donkey)
Lineage: Eukaryota; Metazoa; Chordata; Mammalia; Perissodactyla; Equidae
Source: Ensembl
AGAAAGCUAGCUGCAGGGCCUGCUUGCCGGCGGCUGCCUGGCCACUGGCUGGUUGCCUGAGCUUCAGGCGUGGCUGCAUGUGCAGGGGCUGGGCGCCCACGCUCUGUUCUCCUGCAUGACAAGGAGACGCAGCACGGCACACAGCACACCGGCCCAAUGCCAGCUGCUCCGAAGAGGGGCCUCCAUGGCAGGGCCUGAGCAUCGAGACAACGCUCGCCGCCGCUGCCGCCGUGGAGAGGCGCCCGUGUGCCACCUCCCGCGAUCAUACCCUGGGGGCAGGGUGGGCUCUGCUCCACUUGCUGCGAGAGAGGGGAGCAAAGGGAGGGGCUCUGGCAGGCCCUCCUCCAAGUUAAUGUACCGGAAACAACGGAACAACGACUUCUGCACAGAACAGACGGGUGGCGCGAUCGUUCAGUAGCUGCUGCGCAUUUCCUGAGGCAGAUGUGGCACUGCUGCUUCUGUGGUGGCCCCAUCACGACGCUGAUCCUGGGCAUGCUGAUGGCGACCGCCGUGACCCCGAUGACGACACAGCCGCAGGGACAGAUUCUCGGGGGCUUUGCAAGAGCAACCUGGGCCAUCAGAAGUGCCAGAGCCGACAUCUGUCCCGGGCCUUGCAGUUGGGACAUGGAAACACGAGUCUAAAUGACAAGAAACAAGAUCACACAAGUCCCCAUCAUGUCGCGAGACCUUACCAUUGUUCUGCAGCGACAAUGAGCACUUACAAGCCGGGCCAUCUGGAGGUUGGCCACGGUGGUGCCCGUGAGCAGGGCUCCCGGCCGCGGAGCUGUGACAGUGGCGUGCCUAGCUGACAUGCGUCAGGGAAGGCUGUCACAAAGGCACAUGUCCCAUCAGAGCGUAGCGGUCAUCACUGGACGACGGCGCAGACAUGGUCAUGACCUGCCGGCUCUCAGGUGCCAUGGUCAGGCACCCCUUCCUCUGUGCCUACAGCACCUUCCCUACACCUUCUAACACCACCAGCACUCUGUGAGUUCCUGGAGGGCAUAUAUCGGCUUUCCUCUCCAAAAAAAGCUUGAAUUCCUGGGCCAAUCACGACCCCACGGGGUUACAAUACUGAGUGAAUUCAGCAGAAAGCGUAGACACUUUUAUCAUCUCUCAAUGUCCCUUCACGGUAGACUUAAAAGUUUCCCCAGAUAACCUCUUGUUUCUAUGUCCACGGUCACUUACUGGCUACAAAGGAACCACUUCUCCUGAAAAGGAACCUCCUCGUGCACCCCUCCUCCUAAUCUAAGCUGAGUCUUGUUAUGAGCUGUUCCCUACACAAGAAAAACCACCCAACCAGUGUCUACACACGAGCUCCCUCUGUCUUCUUGAAGCCACAUGUCUUGCCAUCAAAUUUUCCCUGAAGGAAAUGACGUAAAGAUCUGCAACUACGAGAGCUGAAGUUUUCUGCACAUGCACGUGCUGACCGGGUGGGGCAAGCCUGUGGGUUUCCGAGACUCGUGGACACUGCUGGCCCUCGUGCCCGACUCAGUGGAUGGCAGUCCCAGCGAGGGAGGUGGAAGCAAAGAGGGGAAGACCUUCUUUUCUCCUCUUCUUUCUUCAGCUACAACUAGAUAUUUAGUGACAGAGAAGAAGGCAGAUAAGUACUGGCGAAUUGGGAAACCAGCACAUGGUGUGCACGGUGUGUACAACCUGGCGACUGCGGGCGGCCUGAGUCUCAGCAAGACCUCAGGAAACAGUGACGCAGGCGGUCCUACAAGACGUGCUCCAUGCAGCCGCAUCCCGAGUUUGCAGCAGUAAUCCUGGUUCUCCUCGUUGGCUGCUUUCCCCGGGAAGUGCAAACAGGGCCUCGAGAUCCCCAGGAUUAGAAAGUGCACAUGGUCCACAGCUCCAUGAGCGUGUUGUGCAAAGGACUGUGUAUCAGGAGCAAGCGGUGCUGACUGCGAAAGAGAAGCAGCGCGUUUCUCAGUUUCCCCUCGUCACACUCGACAGUUCUCAACAAACCCACAUUGCUCCGUCCCAGAAGAUUCUGUUACACAGCAUGUCAAACCUCGUGACAACAAAUGCUGCUAGUUAGAGUUGUGUGACGCCAGCACGUCUGCCUUCGGCCCCGGCUCACAUUUCAGACAACAACGAUAUAACCAACUCUAACGUCACCUCAUCACCCAGCGAGUCCUCGGCUUUGAACUGACCGGUCCGAAAUCCACUUAGUGUUACUGCGUCUGUGUCCAUGACUGCCUUCUCCGGGCAGGUUCGCCCAGGAAGCACCGAAACGAGCCUCUUCCCGUGAGUUCAUGCGUCCUUCAGGUUACAAAUUCUUGGGGCCGGCCCCGUGGCCGAGUGGUUAAGUUCGUGCGCUCCGCUUUGGUGGCCCAGGGUUUCGCCGGUUCAAAUCCUGGGCACGGACACGGCACCGCUCAUCAAGCUGUGCUGAGGCGGCGUCCCACAUGCCACAACUGGAAGGACCCACAACUAAAAAUACACAACUAUGUACCGGGGAGCUUUGGGGA